UACGGGGGGGGCAAGCGUUGUUCGGAAUUACUGGGCGUAAAGGGCUGGUAGGCGGCCAACUAAGUCGGAUGUGAAAUCCCCAGGCUUAACCUGGGAACUGCAUCCGAUACUGGUCGGCUUGAAUCCGGGAGAGGGAUGCAGAAUUCCAGGUGUAGCGGUGAAAUGCGUAGAUAUCCGGAGGAAUACCGGUGGCGAAGGCGGCAUCCUGGACCGGCAUUGACGCUGAACAGCGAAAGCUAGGGGAGCAAACGGG
This 253-nucleotide ribosomal RNA is filed under the name uncultured bacterium. RNAcentral's name for it is "partial 16S ribosomal RNA". It matches the Rfam family "Bacterial small subunit ribosomal RNA", at positions 524 to 776 of the family's 1533-position model. The record is from RNAcentral.